RNAcentral lists this ribosomal RNA (422 nucleotides) under uncultured bacterium. Its description in RNAcentral is "bacterial SSU rRNA". It matches the Rfam family "Bacterial small subunit ribosomal RNA", at positions 355 to 774 of the family's 1533-position model. The record is from RNAcentral.
UGAAGAAUAUUGGGCAAUGCCCGCAAGGGUGACCCAGCAACGCCGCGUGGAGGAUGAAUGUCGUAAGAUUGUAAACUCCUGUUAGAGGGGAAGAAUAGUACCGGUUGGACCGGUAUAUGACUGUACCCUCAGAGAAAGCCCCGGCUAACUACGUGCCAGCAGCCGCGGUAAUACGUAGGGGGCAAGCGUUGUCCGGAUUUACUGGGUGUAAAGGGCGCGCAGGCGGGAUAAAAAGUCAGUGGUGAAAUCCUACAGCUUAACUGUAGAACUGCCUUUGAUACUUUUAUUCUUGAGUUCGGGAGAGAGAGACGGAAUUCCAGGUGUAGUGGUGAAAUACGUAGAUAUCUGGAAGAACACCAGUUGCGAAGGCGGUCUCUUGGUCCGACACUGACGCUGAGGCGCGAAAGCGUGGGGAGCAAACA